UACGGAGGAGGCAAGCGUUGUUCGGAAUUAUUGGGCGUAAAGGGCUCGUAGGCGGACCAGCAAGUCUGGUGUGAAAUCUCCACCGCUCACCGGGGAGAGGUCACUGGAAACUGCUGGUCUGGAGUUUGACAGAGGGUCGUGGAAUUCCAGGUGUAGCGGUGGAAUGCGUAGAUAUCUGGAAGAACACCGGUGGCGAAGGCGGCGACCUGGGUCAAAACUGACGCUGAGGAGCGAAAGCCAGGGGAGCAAACGGGCUUAGAUACCCCGGUAGUCCUGGCUGUAAACGGUGGAUACUAGGUGUGGGGGGUAUCGACCCCCUCCGUGCCGAAGCUAACGUAUUAAGUAUCCCGCCUGGGGAGUACGGCCGCAAGGUUG
This 375-nucleotide ribosomal RNA is filed under the name uncultured prokaryote. Its description in RNAcentral is "bacterial SSU rRNA". It matches the Rfam family "Bacterial small subunit ribosomal RNA", at positions 524 to 896 of the family's 1533-position model. The record is from RNAcentral.